UACGUAGGGUGCAAGCGUUAAUCGGAAUUACUGGGCGUAAAGCGUGCGCAGGCGGUUGUGCAAGACAGAUGUGAAAUCCCCGGGCUCAACCUGGGAACUGCAUUUGUGACUGCACGGCUAGAGUGCGGCAGAGGGAGAUGGAAUUCCGAGUGUAGCAGUGAAAUGCGUAGAUAUGCGGAGGAACACCGAUGGCGAAGGCAACCUCCUGGGCCUGCACUGACGCUCAUGAACGAAAGCGUGGGGAGCAAACAGG
Molecule: unclassified non-coding RNA, 253 nt
Filed under: uncultured Gammaproteobacteria bacterium
Lineage: Bacteria; Pseudomonadati; Pseudomonadota; Gammaproteobacteria
Description: contains 16S-23S intergenic spacer region
Rfam family: Bacterial small subunit ribosomal RNA
Source: RNAcentral